AACGCGAAGAACCUUACCUACCCUUGACAUGUCAGGAACUUGCCAGAGAUGGCUUGGUGCUCGAAAGAGAACCUGAACACAGGUGCUGCAUGGCUGUCGUCAGCUCGUGUCGUGAGAUGUUGGGUUAAGUCCCGCAACGAGCGCAACCCUUGUCGUUAAUUGCCAUCAUUCAGUUGGGCACUUUAACGAGACUGCCGGUGACAAACCGGAGGAAGGUGGGGAUGACGUCAAGUCCUCAUGGCCCUUAUGGGUAGGGCUUCACACGUCAUACAAUGGUCGGUACAAAGGGUCGCCAACCCGCGAGGGGGAGCCAAUCCCAUAAAGCCGAUCGUAGUCCGGAUUGCAGGCUGCAACUCGCCUGCAUGAAGUCGGAAUCGCUAGUAAUCGUGGAUCAGCAUGUCACGGUGAAUACGUUCCCGGGCCUUGUACACACCG
RNAcentral lists this ribosomal RNA (435 nucleotides) under uncultured beta proteobacterium 272-3-1. Its description in RNAcentral is "bacterial SSU rRNA". It matches the Rfam family "Bacterial small subunit ribosomal RNA", at positions 958 to 1392 of the family's 1533-position model. The record is from RNAcentral. Lineage: Bacteria; Pseudomonadati; Pseudomonadota; Betaproteobacteria.